GAUCUGAAGUCUUAGUGGGGGUACCUGAGGCCUGUCUCCCCACUGUAAGGCCAGAUCAAUAGCAUUGUGGGCCUUGCCUUCAUUUCUGCUGUUGCAGAUAAUGGCAUUAAUCUAUUCAUGAGGGUAGA
Molecule: small nucleolar RNA, 128 nt
Organism: Cynocephalus volans (Philippine flying lemur)
Lineage: Eukaryota; Metazoa; Chordata; Mammalia; Dermoptera; Cynocephalidae
Source: RefSeq, a predicted model, not a curated record